Molecule: ribosomal RNA, 517 nt
Filed under: uncultured archaeon
Lineage: Archaea
Description: bacterial SSU rRNA
Rfam family: Archaeal small subunit ribosomal RNA
Source: RNAcentral
GUAACACGUAGUCAACCUGCCCUGGAGACAUGGACAACCCCGGGAAACUGGGAUUAAUCCGUGAUAGGUCAUCUCAUCUGGAAGGAGAGAUGGCUUAAAGGGGUACGCGGGCUUCUUCUGCGUAUUCGCUCCAGGAUGGGACUGCGUCCGAUCAGGCUGUUGGCGGGGUAAUGGCCCACCAAACCUGUAACCGGUACGGGCCUUGAGAGAGGUGGCCCGGAGAUGGACACUGAGAGAAGGGUCCAGGUCCUACGGGGCGCAGCAGGCGCGAAACCUUCGCAAUGCGCGAAAGCGUGACGAGGUUAAUCCGAGUGGCCCCCGCUGAGGGGGUCUCUUGUCAGCUGUAAAUAGGCGGGCGAAUAAGGGGAGGGCAAGCCUGGUGUCAGCCGCCGCGGUAAUACCAGCUCCUCGAGUGGUCGGGGCGAUUAUUGGGCCUAAAGCAUCCGUAGCCGGUUCCGUAGGUCCUCUGUUAAAUCCACCCGCUUAACGGGUGACCUGCAGAGGAUACCGCGGGACU